This 846-nucleotide long non-coding RNA is filed under the name Sus scrofa (pig). Its description in RNAcentral is "lncRNA (ENSSSCG00050021678.1)". Lineage: Eukaryota; Metazoa; Chordata; Mammalia; Artiodactyla; Suidae. The record is from RNAcentral.
ACAAGGCAAGAACUUGGAGAGGUGAGAGGAAAUAAAAGAAAUGGUUUCACCCCUUGCUCUGAGGUGCUGGUGGGAAGAGAAUGUGAAGCCUCCUGCAGGAACAUGGAAGAUGGGUCCUGCGACAAGGAGGGAGAAAGUCCACUAAAAGAAAUAAGGACUCCUUGGAGAAUUGACUGAUUCCUGCUCACUACAAGUAGAAAGAAUCCCUCUAACCUCUGAAUCCUCAUGGUGCUGUACAUUCAUUUAGUGGAAAUAACAGUACCCUGCUCUAUGCCAAGGCUAUCAGGGUUAUCUCUGUCAACACCAGUGAUUUUAGAGAGAAUGACAAAUAUAGAAGAUGUGGAAGACAAGUACUGGACAUGUCCUGAUCAAGACAAAUAUUGAAAGGAACACAGAUGGGAAAAAAUUGAUCCUAACUGGAAGCUAUAUGGCUGCCAUGAAAAUUAAAUCCUGGUGAGUUUCUCAAUAUGUGAACUAUUGUACUCUUACAGAGAAAUCUAGGCACAGGCUAGGACUGAGAUUCAGGACAGAAAAAAUGACCCAUAAUAGUUUAAAACCAUGAAACAGACAGUGAUGGAUAAUUCAUCUAAUAAUCCAAUUCGCCAAGUGUUACAUACUUAAGUUCUAAGUAAAGGAACCACUGAACUAGAAUGGCAGUUAGAGGAAAUCCAAAAUUCUGAAAGUAGUAGGGGCCAAAAGGAAUUAAGGUCACCUGUCAAAAGGAAUGAUACUAAGAGUAAUGCUAGGAAUCUAGACUCACAUGAAUCCAGUGAUCACAAAACACAUCCUACUGGUAACAGAGAAAUACACCUAAAGAAUAAAUGUGGUCGGUUCUAUAAAAAUGCA